RNAcentral lists this ribosomal RNA (392 nucleotides) under uncultured bacterium. RNAcentral's name for it is "bacterial SSU rRNA". It matches the Rfam family "Bacterial small subunit ribosomal RNA", at positions 30 to 416 of the family's 1533-position model. The record is from RNAcentral.
AUUGAACGCUGGCGGCAGGCCUAACACAUGCAAGUCGAACGGUAACAGGAAGCAGCUUGCUGCUUCGCUGACGAGUGGCGGACGGGUGAGUAAUGUCUGGGAAGCUGCCUGAUGGAGGGGAUAACUACUGGAAACGGUAGCUAAUACCGCAUAAUGUCGCAAGACCAAAAGAGGGGGACCUUCGGGCCUCUUGCCAUCGGAUGUGCCCAGAUGGGAUUAGCUUGUUGGUGGGGUAACGGCUCACCAAGGCGACGAUCCCUAGCUGGUCUGAGAGGAUGACCAGCCACACUGGAACUGAGACACGGUCCAGACUCCUACGGGAGGCAGCAGUGGGGAAUAUUGCACAAUGGGCGCAAGCCUGAUGCAGCCAUGCCGCGUGUAUGAAGAAGGCC